GAAGAGUUAUGACUAAAAUGCCAAGUAUGACUUCAUUUUACUUGGCUUACUGGAAUAUUAUGCAUAAAUACUUGUAUAUAUCCUUUCUAGCAUUUUUUAGAAUCCACCGUCUGAAAAUCCAUGUGAAUGCUUUUCUUUAUGGGGUGGGUCUUCCUGAGACUAGUCAACAUGUGUGCGUGUUUUAUUGAAAAUGUAAGUGCUGUACUCUGGACGUGCAUAAAAAGUCUUGAGAUCAACCGUUUGCUGUGGAAAAUAACUUGUCUGUUAGAAAACAUUUUCUGAAAAAAUAACUUAUUUUCCAUUGUUUGGUUGCAAUGCUGAAAAAUAAAGGGAAAUUAAUUUCUAUUUUUUUGGAGUGUACUGGAAAUUAUUAUUUUUCUUUCCAUUUAUAAUUAUAAACUACAAAAAUGUUUAGAUAGUAAAAAUUUCUUUUUUUUUUACUAAUUUAUUGUUGAAUAUGAGAAAAAUACAUAAAAAUCCAAAAUUAUGGCUGCCAUAACCCAUUGCCAGUGGCUUCCACAGGUCGUUAGUGACCGGUAGUGGCUGUCGGUGGUGAAGGACGAUCAGUAAACGAACGGGUGAAUGUUUUUGUCAUGCAUUUAUAAGUUUAUUAAAGUCCGGAAAAUGACUUUCUUGGAAAAUAAUUUCCUCUUAAGAAAUCAUUUUUCUUAAAAAUAGCUUAGUUUCCCUUUAGUUUGGAAAAUGUUUUCUGUUAACAAAUUUUCUUAAGUGGCGAGAGCCCUAAAUGUUGGAAAAUGCUGAAAAAUGUUUUUAAGGAAAAUAUGUUUCAUGAAACAAAUGGAGCCCAAGUAUGGUAAGUUGUUUAAGAGUAACUUCCUAGGGGAAUAGCUUAUGAAAAAUUCAACAGCAUGCUUGAGUGUUAUUCCCUUUGUGACAAGUUCUUGAUGAUGUUAUGGGAAAAAAACAGUUGUUUAAAUUCUCUUUACUUUUAAUAUAUCAUUUCGCAUGUGUCCUGAAUAACUCUUUUUUCCUAGCGUUUGUGCAUGAGCUGUUGAUGAAUGGUUCAUUGAUCUACAUUAAACUUAGACAGUUUUCAUAUGAUUGUGUGACAUUCAAGUUUAUCAGAAUACAUAAUGCUUUGAGUUUCUUUAUGCACAUGACUUGGAGAAUUUGAGUCAUGUUCAGCCUUUUGACCAAAAUUCAUGCGAGUGUCUUCUGUUGACUUUCCUAUUAACAUGUUGACAAUGUUGGUGACAUGAUUUAGCUUCUUCCAAGCAUAUCACACAAAUGCACUACGUAUUCCUGAUCCUUUGUUUUUUUGCUUGCAUUUCUUGGGGGUGGUCAUUGCUUCCUAAUAAAUAAAGAUAAACGAAAAGCAAGCACAGACAACUUGAUGCAGCAACCACCACUGAAGAAACUUGCGACAGAUGGUGCGACGAGUGUAAUGCAGGUGAACUCCACACAAGGGGCAAUAGGUGGAUACCCCAAGGCUGCUGCGGCUUCUAGCAUGGGUAUAUCAUUAAUGUCGCAUCAGUUGCCUACUGAAAACAUAUCAGGAAGCGACAGUGGUCUGGUGUUGAAAACGUCUACUAUGCUUGCACAGGCAU
Molecule: unclassified non-coding RNA, 1568 nt
Filed under: Hevea brasiliensis (rubber tree)
Lineage: Eukaryota; Viridiplantae; Streptophyta; Magnoliopsida; Malpighiales; Euphorbiaceae
Source: RNAcentral